RNAcentral lists this transfer RNA (71 nucleotides) under Loxodonta africana (African savanna elephant). It matches the Rfam family "tRNA". Rfam says of the family: Transfer RNA (tRNA) molecules are approximately 80 nucleotides in length. Their secondary structure includes four short double-helical elements and three loops (D, anti-codon, and T loops). Further hydrogen bonds mediate the characteristic L-shaped molecular structure. tRNAs have two regions of fundamental functional importance: the anti-codon, which is responsible for specific mRNA codon recognition, and the 3' end, to which the tRNAs corresponding amino acid is attached (by aminoacyl-tRNA synthetases). tRNAs cope with the degeneracy of the genetic code in two manners: having more than one tRNA (with a specific anti-codon) for a particular amino acid; and 'wobble' base-pairing, i.e. permitting non-standard base-pairing at the 3rd anti-codon position. The record is from Rfam by way of RNAcentral. Lineage: Eukaryota; Metazoa; Chordata; Mammalia; Proboscidea; Elephantidae.
GCACUGGUGGUUCAGUGUUAGAGUAUUUGCCUUCCAUGUGGGAGACCCAGGUUCAAUUCCCGGCCAAUGCA